CCUACGGGCGGCAGCAGUGGGGAAUAUUGGACAAUGGGCGAAAGCCUGAUCCAGCCAUGCCGCGUGUGUGAAGAAGGCCUUCGGGUUGUAAAGCACUUUCAGUGGGGAAGAAAGCCUUGGGGCUAAUACCCUCGAGGAAGGACAUCACCCACAGAAGAAGCACCGGCUAACUCCGUGCCAGCAGCCGCGGUAAUACGGAGGGGCGAGCGUUAAUCGGAAUUACUGGGCGUAAAGCGCGCGUAGGCGGUCUGAUAAGCCGGUUGUGAAAGCCCCGGGCUCAACCUGGGAACGGCAUCCGGAAAUGUCAGGCUAGAGUGCAGGAGAGGAAGGUAGAAUUCCCGGUGUAGCGGUGAAAUGCGUAGAGAUCGGGAGGAAUACCAGUGGCGAAGGCGGCCUUCUGGACUGACACUGACGCUGAGGUGCGAAAGCGUGGGUAGCAAACAGGAUUAGAUACCCCUGUAGUC
RNAcentral lists this ribosomal RNA (464 nucleotides) under Vreelandella stevensii. RNAcentral's name for it is "partial 16S ribosomal RNA". It matches the Rfam family "Bacterial small subunit ribosomal RNA", at positions 338 to 795 of the family's 1533-position model. Lineage: Bacteria; Pseudomonadati; Pseudomonadota; Gammaproteobacteria; Oceanospirillales; Halomonadaceae. The record is from RNAcentral.